Sinocyclocheilus anshuiensis is the source of this 396-nucleotide long non-coding RNA. RefSeq lists it as uncharacterized. The record is from RefSeq and is a predicted model, not a curated record. NCBI's taxonomy places the organism in Eukaryota, Metazoa, Chordata, Actinopteri, Cypriniformes, Cyprinidae. The transcript has 3 exons.
CUCAUAAAGUGACAUUUUCAUGCCAUGGGACCUUUAAUCUACAUCCUACAAAGGUUUGAAAACACUCAAAUGCUAUUAAAGGGAAGAUGCUUUAAUCUAAUUAACCUCAGGUAUGAAUCAUUGCCUUUGGUUAAUUAACCCAAAUGUCAAAUGAGGUACCAGAACAUCCCAGAAUAACAAGAAUUCUUCUUUUUCUUCUGUGAGCCAUUUUUUUAUUAUAAAAAAAAAUGUGUUUGACAUCUGCUAUGUUGUAGGAACCCAGGAAAUCCUUCUCUCUGGGCUCUUCUCUCCAGACUGGUCCCACAGUACUGCCCCAACAAAGCCAAAGGAGGUGCUGUGGCUGGCAGUGUGGCGUGUCAUGCCAGCUUGACGCUUGGAAAGAGGGCGUUGCUGUAC